AGAGUUUGAUCAUGGCUCAGAUUGAACGCUGGCGGCAGGCCUAACACAUGCAAGUCGAGCGGUAGCACAGAGAGCUUGCUCUCGGGUGACGAGCGGCGGACGGGUGAGUAAUGUCUGGGAAACUGCCUGAUGGAGGGGGAUAACUACUGGAAACGGUAGCUAAUACCGCAUAACGUCGCAAGACCAAAGUGGGGGACCUUCGGGCCUCAUGCCAUCAGAUGUGCCCAGAUGGGAUUAGCUAGUAGGUGGGGUAAUGGCUCACCUAGGCGACGAUCCCUAGCUGGUCUGAGAGGAUGACCAGCCACACUGGAACUGAGACACGGUCCAGACUCCUACGGGAGGCAGCAGUGGGGAAUAUUGCACAAUGGGCGCAAGCCUGAUGCAGCCAUGCCGCGUGUGUGAAGAAGGCCUUCGGGUUGUAAAGCACUUUCAGCGGGGAGGAAGGCGAUAAGGUUAAUAACCUUGUCGAUUGACGUUACCCGCAGAAGAAGCACCGGCUAACUCCGUGCCAGCAGCCGCGGUAAUACGGAGGGUGCAAGCGUUAAUCGGAAUUACUGGGCGUAAAGCGCACGCAGGCGGUCUGUCAAGUCGGAUGUGAAAUCCCCGGGCUCAACCUGGGAACUGCAUUCGAAACUGGCAGGCUAGAGUCUUGUAGAGGGGGGUAGAAUUCCAGGUGUAGCGGUGAAAUGCGUAGAGAUCUGGAGGAAUACCGGUGGCGAAGGCGGCCCCCUGGACAAAGACUGACGCUCAGGUGCGAAAGCGUGGGGAGCAAACAGGAUUAGAUACCCUGGUAGUCCACGCCGUAAACGAUGUCGAUUUGGAGGUUGUGCCCUUGAGGCGUGGCUUCCGGAGCUAACGCGUUAAAUCGACCGCCUGGGGAGUACGGCCGCAAGGUUAAAACUCAAAUGAAUUGACGGGGGCCCGCACAAGCGGUGGAGCAUGUGGUUUAAUUCGAUGCAACGCGAAGAACCUUACCUGGUCUUGACAUCCACAGAACUUUCCAGAGAUGGAUUGGUGCCUUCGGGAACUGUGAGACAGGUGCUGCAUGGCUGUCGUCAGCUCGUGUUGUGAAAUGUUGGGUUAAGUCCCGCAACGAGCGCAACCCUUAUCCUUUGUUGCCAGCGGUUAGGCCGGGAACUCAAAGGAGACUGCCAGUGAUAAACUGGAGGAAGGUGGGGAUGACGUCAAGUCAUCAUGGCCCUUACGACCAGGGCUACACACGUGCUACAAUGGCAUAUACAAAGAGAAGCGACCUCGCGAGAGCAAGCGGACCUCAUAAAGUAUGUCGUAGUCCGGAUUGGAGUCUGCAACUCGACUCCAUGAAGUCGGAAUCGCUAGUAAUCGUAGAUCAGAAUGCUACGGUGAAUACGUUCCCGGGCCUUGUACACACCGCCCGUCACACCAUGGGAGUGGGUUGCAAAAGAAGUAGGUAGCUUAACCUUCGGGAGGGCGCUUACCACUUUGUGAUUCAUGACUGGGGUGAAGUCGUAACAAGGUAACCGUAGGGGAACCUGCGGUUGGAUCACCU
Molecule: ribosomal RNA, 1528 nt
Filed under: Klebsiella pneumoniae
Lineage: Bacteria; Pseudomonadati; Pseudomonadota; Gammaproteobacteria; Enterobacterales; Enterobacteriaceae
Also listed under: 3 other names
Description: bacterial SSU rRNA
Rfam family: Bacterial small subunit ribosomal RNA
Source: RNAcentral